This 817-nucleotide long non-coding RNA is filed under the name Neodiprion pinetum (white pine sawfly). RNAcentral describes it as "uncharacterized LOC124212836". The record is from RNAcentral. Lineage: Eukaryota; Metazoa; Arthropoda; Insecta; Hymenoptera; Diprionidae.
CUUAUAUUACUAACAGAACUUUACAGCAGAUAAAUUUCGUCACGUUUUUGCACUAACAGAACUUUUAGUGCAACAAAUUUUAGAUUAAAUGUAAUACCAUGACUAGCGAUAAGAAUCAGCAAAAGUCACGAAAAGCUAUUACGUUUAUCCCAUUUGAAGGUUUCAGAUUUAUUACCUAAUUUUAUUUCCGGAAGCAAAGUUCGGACGUCCAAAUGGUAUGUUCCGCAUUCGGAUUCCAUCCUGCAAAUCCAUAUUGUCGAUAUUUACCAGUGAAGAUAGGAUCUAGAUAUGAAUUUAUAGGAUCUGGUAGAAAUCUAUUCAGCAACGGAGAUCUUGAAUAUUUCGCGGAAGUAAUCAGUAGGCUAACGUCACGUCAUAAGCUCACCUGGCUGUAUGGUCAUGGUCAGGUAGCAUCAAUGUUUUGGAUCACCUGAAUCCUGGAGGAACAUCUUCUCGGUACCAAGGUCGGGCGACUUUUCCAGUGCGUAUUGCGGUAGCAGUUUAAGCACAAAAGGGAUGGAGAUUGCUGUUGCGGUACGAGAAUCCAUCCUCGCUAAGACCAGAAAAUCUCACAUCAAUAAAGCAAACCAACUAAACUUGAGCUUCUGGGCAUAAAAGGUGAAGCCCAAACUAAUGGAAAUUAAAGCUAUCUAUCAUCAAAAUUUAUCUUGAUCACAACAUACUAUCCGUGAAUGCGAGCAAGAUAGUCUGUAUAUCUUCUGCUAGAUAUAAAGUUAAUUUUCAGUCUAUUUCGAGUUGGAAGUGUUUUGGAAGGUCGGUAUUUUGACCAUUGGUAAAUUGACCAAAGAAUUAAAAC